RNAcentral lists this ribosomal RNA (430 nucleotides) under Bacillota bacterium. RNAcentral's name for it is "Firmicutes bacterium partial 16S ribosomal RNA". It matches the Rfam family "Bacterial small subunit ribosomal RNA", at positions 355 to 776 of the family's 1533-position model. Lineage: Bacteria; Bacillati; Bacillota. The record is from RNAcentral.
UAGGGAAUUGUUCGCAAUGGGCGCAAGCCUGACGACGCAACGCCGCGUGGAGGAUGAAGACCUUCGGGUCGUAAACUCCUUUCGACCGAGAUGAAUACCCACCGACCUAAUACGUUGGUGGGCUGACAGUAUCGAGGGAAGAAGCCCCGGCUAACUCCGUGCCAGCAGCCGCGGUAAUACGGGGGGGGCAAGCGUUGUUCGGAAUUACUGGGCGUAAAGGGUUCUUAGGUGGCCUGCUAAGUCACACGUGAAAUCCCUCAGCUUAACUGGGGAACUGCGUGUGAGACUGGCGGGCUUGAGUGCAGGAGAGGAACGCGGAAUUCCAGGUGUAGCGGUGAAAUGCGUAGAUAUCUGGAGGAACACCGGUGGCGAAGGCGGCGUUCUGGACUGCUACUGACACUGAGGAACGAAAGCCAGGGGAGCAAACGGG